GCAGAAAGAACAGUUAUUGAAAUCAACACCAUCAGUGUGCUGACAUAACAUGAGUGCAACAAUUCCCUUUUCUAUAGGGCUAGUUUCAGUUUAUUAUAACUGAAUAGAAAUGGAUAAUAUCAUCCUACAAGCUUGACUUCCACGAAGGAGACUUUCAGCAAGAAGCUCCAACAUCCGAAGCCAUAUCAUAGGUCUUUUGCAGACCAUAUAGAGCUGCUGGUGGGAGCGCCCUGUGGGCCAGCCCUUAUCUCGGUAUAGGGUUUCAGUGGUUUGAUGGUUUUCAUCCAGCCUCAUCCAUUGGGUGAUCACAUUGUAACAAAAGGAGCCUGGAAGAGUCAUAAUCCAGUUCAUGGAAAAUAAUCUCACUGUCUAACUGCUCCACUUUGAACCUGCAUCACUGCAAACAACAUUAAGGACUCUUAGCUGCUGCUCAAGUCGUGCAGGCCUCUCUGUUUCUAAUUACUUCGUGCUGAUGCUGUGGGAAUAUGCUGAGGCUGUGCCACCUCUGAUACUGCCAAAUGGCUCUGUGAUACGCAGCAGUGCCCCGGCCCCUCUCCAGGUAUUUCCU
RNAcentral lists this long non-coding RNA (568 nucleotides) under Numida meleagris (helmeted guineafowl). RNAcentral describes it as "lncRNA (ENSNMEG00000016671.1)". Lineage: Eukaryota; Metazoa; Chordata; Aves; Galliformes; Numididae. The record is from RNAcentral.